RNAcentral lists this long non-coding RNA (323 nucleotides) under Mytilus galloprovincialis (Mediterranean mussel). Lineage: Eukaryota; Metazoa; Mollusca; Bivalvia; Mytilida; Mytilidae. The record is from RNAcentral.
CAAAAAUAAGAUAAAGUCAAUAGACCAUGUACAGAAAAGAACAGCACUAUUUGUGAACAACAACCACACAGACCAAACACCAGGCUGUGUCACAAAUAUGGUUAAAACUCUAAAUUGGGAAUACUUCGAAGAACGGAGGAAAACAAACAGAUUAUGCAUGCUAUUCAACAACAACAAUUUUUAUUUGUCAAUCAAGACGCCCCGAGGAGCAGUACAAUUACAGUUUAAAUUAAAGUGUACAAAUAAUUGUGGUGACUUUUUUCAUUGAAAUUACAAUACAUGACAAUAAAACUAAAACUAUAUUAUAUAAGAGAAGGGAGACA